Molecule: ribosomal RNA, 773 nt
Filed under: uncultured Neocallimastigales
Lineage: Eukaryota; Fungi; Neocallimastigomycota; Neocallimastigomycetes; Neocallimastigales
Description: partial large subunit ribosomal RNA
Rfam family: Eukaryotic large subunit ribosomal RNA
Source: RNAcentral
AUAUCAGUCAUGCAUAGCAUAUCAAUAAGCGGAGGAAAAGAAACUAACAAGGAUUCCCUUAGUAACGGCGAGUGAAGCGGGAAGAGCUCAAAUUUGAAAUCUUCAAGGUUCUACCUUGACGAAUUGUAGUUUAUAGAAGUGUUUUCUGUUAGUGGAGUGGCAAAAGUUCUUUGGAAUAGGACAUCAUAGAGGGUGAGAAUCCCGUAUUUGGUCAUUCCUCCUAGCGUUGUGAUACACUUUCAACGAGUCGGAUUGUUUGGGAAUGCAGUCCAAAAUGGGUGGUAAAUUUCAUCUAAAGCUAAAUAUUGGCGAGAGACCGAUAGCGAACAAGUACCGUGAGGGAAAGAUGAAAAGAACUUUGAAAAGAGAGUUAAACAGUACGUGAAAUUGUCAAAAGGGAAGCGUUUGACACCAGUGUUGUUUUUCCGACAAUCAAUUACGAAUGUUUUGUUUUUGAGGAGUUAUGACUUCAUCGGCUUGCUCCUUUCUUUACGAAACUUUCUUAAUGCACUUUUCGGUUAACAAGUCAACAUCAAUUUCUUUUGUUGUAAAAGGGUAUGAGGAAGGUGGCUUUCUUUUCGGAGAAAGUGUUUAUAGCCUUGUGCCUCUGCAAUCGGAGAGAUUGAGGUCUGCAGCGUAGAUCCUUCGGGGUUAGAUACGUUUGUGCUAAGUUAUAGCUUUUCAUAGACAACUUGUUGACUAUGUUUAGUCUUGUAGCUUACUCGCUGACGCUAUUUUACCUACGCUUAGGAUGUUGAUGUGAUACUGCGAGC